This 303-nucleotide ribosomal RNA is filed under the name Calothrix marchica AUS-JR/BS/MS/NT-053. Its description in RNAcentral is "bacterial SSU rRNA". It matches the Rfam family "Bacterial small subunit ribosomal RNA", at positions 164 to 501 of the family's 1533-position model. The record is from RNAcentral. Lineage: Bacteria; Bacillati; Cyanobacteriota; Cyanophyceae; Nostocales; Calotrichaceae.
UAAUACCGGUUGUGCGGGAACGUGAAAGAGAAAUUGCCUGAAGGUGAGCUCCCGUCAAUUUACCUAGUAGGUGGUGUAAAGGACUACCUAGGCGACGAUCUGUAGCUGGUCUGAGAGGACGAUCACCCACACUGGAACUGAAACACGGUCCAAACUCCUACGGGAGGCAGCAGUGGGGAAUUUUCCGCAAUGGGCGAAAGCCUGACGGAGCAAUACCGCGUGAGGGAUGAAGGCUUUUGGGUCGUAAACCUCUUUUAUUAGGGAAGAAAUUUGACGGUACCUAUUGAAUAAGCAUCGGCUAAC